Non-coding RNA from Cicer arietinum (chickpea), 1745 nucleotides. The record is from RefSeq and is a predicted model, not a curated record. NCBI's taxonomy places the organism in Eukaryota, Viridiplantae, Streptophyta, Magnoliopsida, Fabales, Fabaceae.
ACAGUCAACCUAUUGUACACUAUUCAAAACAAACACCUGUUUCACCUUGUAAUUUAUGUCAUUAUUAAUAUCAUGUUGUAUAUUUUUUUAAUGUAGGAAUAAGUUUUGCACUUAUUUAUGCAUAAAAAAUAAAAUAGAUGUUUUACUCUCAAUUGCCCUUUUCAAAGGACUGUGUAUUCUAAUUUCUGAGAGUUUACUAUAAAUAAAGCCUUCGAAGCUAUCUGCCAUGCUCCGAAGGCUCCCAAAUUUCUCUUGGUCAAUUGGAUAGCUACUCAUGUGCAUUGGAUCAAGUGUAACAUUGAUGGAUCUUCAAGAGGUUCCCGCGGUUUAAUCUAUUCUUUAGUGCAUGUAUUUUUAGAGACUUUUCUAGCUGUUUUUUAGGUGCUUUUGUCCAGAACAUAGGUAUGUCCAUGACUCUUUUGAUGAUUCAAGCCUUCUUAAAUUCCAAAUUUGUGCCUUGGAUGCUUAGGAUCAUUGGUUCAAUUUUCUACAUUUCAUUAAAGGAUUACAUUUUAGAGUGGCUCAUAUCUUUAGAGAAGGGAUUACUCAUGUUGAUUGUUUUGUCAAUGAAAUUUUUGGAAUAGAUUACUUUCUUUGGUGGAAUUAGUUCCCUCUUAUAUUCAACAAGAUCUUUCUAAAAUAGAUUGGACAUUCCAACUUCUAUUUCAUUAGUUAUUUUUUGCCUAUCCCAAACCACACAUUUUUUUCUUUUAUCAAAUUUUAUUAUGGUAAAGUUUUAAUAAGGUAUUUUUUAUCACUAAAAAAAUCAUAAUUCAUGAAUAAUAGAUGCAUGCAUGUCCUGUUUGUUAUAUUUCGUACCACAUUUGUAUAUAUUUAAAAAGAUUUUCAACGUUCAACAAUAAUCUGUUUUCUUCAAAGCCAGCCAUUGACCGUUCCAUAUAUACCCUUGUGGACAUAUAUAUAUAUUUAAAAAGAUUUUCAACGUUCAACAAUAAUCUGUUUUCUUCAAAGCCAGCCAUUGACCGUUUCAUAUAUACCCUUGGGGACACGCAAGCAAACACAAACAAAUAAACAAUCAUAUAAAUAUAUAAUAAAUUUUAGCAUUGUAUCCAUAUGUAUAACGCUAGCUUUCACUUUCACAUACUAACCAAUAUCUCCCUUACCUUCAAGAAUCAUGCAAAAGAGACACCAGAGCAGUAUCAAUAUCAUUGGCCCUCAGUAUCGCAUACCACAUUUUGUAGACCUAAGCGAUUGUGAGAAAGGUGACGACAUUAACUGAUAACUUCACAGUCACAGACAUUAAUGGUCACCGUCUCUUACUUGACGCCGCUCUAUGAUCACCGUCACAAACUGAUAACUUCGCUCUAUGAUCACCGUCUCUUACUUGACGCCGCCGGAAAACCGUCGUCUUGACACUACAACGAAAGGUAAAGACUCGACAUGAUCGAUGGGAUGGGAAGCAUUUCGAGUGUAUGAUGUUGGGGGAGUGAUGAUUACCAUGGAUUCUAUACGAAGUGGCAAUAGCAUCAUGGAACAUGGUUGCAGCAAUUAAGUGCUCACAUUUAUUCUUGGUAUGAAAGAUUCAAUGAAUAAAUAAAAUGGUUAUUCAUCUGCUUCAAAAGGCUUAUAUGGAACACAAUGCAUUGGCGUGUAUGGAUAAAUAAAACAAAAAUUAAAUAUGCUACUUCAUAUGUCUCUCUUUUUAUUUUUUGCAACUCAUAUUUCUCUUUUUUCUAGUACUCUAUCUUUAUGGCUUAUAUUAUAUCAUAUUUUUUGUCAAAAUA